This 87-nucleotide transfer RNA is filed under the name Bacteroidota bacterium. RNAcentral describes it as "Bacteroidetes bacterium (activated sludge metagenome) tRNA-Ser". It matches the Rfam family "tRNA". Rfam says of the family: Transfer RNA (tRNA) molecules are approximately 80 nucleotides in length. Their secondary structure includes four short double-helical elements and three loops (D, anti-codon, and T loops). Lineage: Bacteria; Pseudomonadati; Bacteroidota. The record is from RNAcentral. RNAcentral also lists the same sequence under 1 other name.
GGAGAGGUGUCUGAGUGGUUGAAAGAGCCAGUCUCGAAAACUGGAAUAGUCGCAAGGCUAUCGAGGGUUCGAAUCCCUCCCUCUCCG